RNAcentral lists this ribosomal RNA (402 nucleotides) under uncultured prokaryote. RNAcentral's name for it is "bacterial SSU rRNA". It matches the Rfam family "Bacterial small subunit ribosomal RNA", at positions 355 to 774 of the family's 1533-position model. The record is from RNAcentral.
UAGGGAAUAUUAGUAAUGGGCGAAAGCCUGAACUAGCAACACCGCGUGUGCGUAGAAGGCCUUCGGGUUGUAAAGCACUUUUUGAGAGGAUGAGGAAGGACGGUACUCUCAGAAUAAGUCUCGGCUAACUACGUGCCAGCAGCCGCGGUAACACGUAGGAGGCAAACGUUAUCCGGAUUUAUUGGGCGUAAAGCGCGUGUAGGUGGUUUGGUAAGUAGAGCGUGAAAGCUCCUGGCUCAACUGGGAGAGGUCGUUCUAAACUGCCGGACUAGAGGAUGGUAGAGGGAGGUGGAAUACAGGGUGCAGCGGUGGAAUGCGCAGAGAUCCGGAGGAACACCAGUGGCGAAAGCGGCCUCCUGGACCAAUCCUGACACUCAGACGCGAAAGCUAGGGUAGCAAACG